RNAcentral lists this ribosomal RNA (447 nucleotides) under uncultured bacterium. Its description in RNAcentral is "partial 16S ribosomal RNA". It matches the Rfam family "Bacterial small subunit ribosomal RNA", at positions 331 to 794 of the family's 1533-position model. The record is from RNAcentral.
CCAGACUCCUACGGGAGGCAGCAGUGGGGAAUAUUGCACAAUGGGGGGAACCCUGAUGCAGCGACGCCGCGUGGGUGAAGGAGUAUUUCGGUAUGUAAAGCCCUAUCAGCAGGGAAGAACAAUGACGGUACCUGACUAAGAAGCACCGGCUAAAUACGUGCCAGCAGCCGCGGUAAUACGUAUGGUGCAAGCGUUAUCCGGAUUUACUGGGUGUAAAGGGAGCGCAGGCGGCGCGUUAAGCCUGGUGUGAAAGCCCGGGGCCCAACCCCGGGACUGCUCUUGGAACUGCGUGGCUGGAGUGCAGGAGGGGCAGGCGGAAUUCCUGGUGUAGCGGUGAAAUGCGUAGAUAUCAGGAGGAACACCGGUGGCGAAGGCGGCCUGCUGGACUGCAACUGACGUUGAGGCCCGAAAGCGUGGGGAGCAAACAGGAUUAGAUACCCGAGUACC